RNAcentral lists this ribosomal RNA (1293 nucleotides) under metagenome. Its description in RNAcentral is "bacterial LSU rRNA". It matches the Rfam family "Bacterial large subunit ribosomal RNA", at positions 1625 to 2925 of the family's 2925-position model. The record is from RNAcentral.
GGUUAGGGCAGAAGAAUCCGUACCACAAACCGACACAGGUGGACAAGAUGAGUAUUCUCAGGCGCUCGGGUGAUGGUCUGCGAAGGAACUAGGCAAAUUAGCUCCGUAACUUCGGGAGAAGGAGUGCCCACCUCAGACGUGGGUCGCAGUGAAUAGCGUCAGGCGACUGUUUAACAAAAACACAGGUCUCUGCUAAGUCAAAAAAACGACGUAUAGGGGCUGACGCCUGCCCGGUGCCGGAAGGUUAAAAGGAGGGGUUAGUCGCAAGGCGAAGCUCUGAAUUGAAGCCCCGGUGAACGGCGGCCGUAACAAUAACGGUCCUAAGGUAGCGAAAUUCCUUGUCGGGUAAGUUCCGACCUGCACGAAUGGCGUAACGAUCUGACGACUGUCGGCGCAGGCCGCCCGGCGAACUUGUGGUUCCGGUGAAGACGCCGGAUGCCCGCCACUAGACGGAAAGACCCCGUGCACCUUUACUAUACUUUAACAAUGAAUUAUGGGAUGGACUGCGUAGGAUAGGUGGGAGGCUUUGAACCCGGAUUCUUGGAUUCGGGGGAGCCAAUGGUGAAAUACCACCCUGUUUAUUCUGUGAUUCUAACCUACCGACCUGAUCGGCCGGAGGGACAUUGUUAGACGGGUAGUUUGACUGGGGCGGUCGCCUCCAAAAUUGUAACGGAGGCGUGCGAAGCUUGGUUCAGGAGGUUUGGAAAUCCUCCUUCGAGUGCAAUAGCAUAAACCAGGUUGACUGUGAGACCUACAAGUCAAGCAGCUGCGAAAGCAGGCUAUAGUGAUCCGGUGAUUCUGUAUGGAAGGGUCAUCGCUCAACGGAUAAAAGGUACGCCGGGGAUAACAGGCUGAUCGGAGUCAAGAGUUCAUAUCGACGCUCCGGUUUGGCACCUCGAUGUCGGUUCAUCGCAUCCCGGGGGUGUAGAAGCUCCCAAGGGUUAGGCUGUUCGCCUAUUAAAGCGGUACGUGAACUGGGUUCAGAACGUCGCGAGACAGUUCGGUCUCUAUCUGUGGUGGGCGUAGGAAAUUUGAAAGGAUCUGCCUUUAGUACGAGAGGACCGAGGUGGACGAACCUCUUGUGAUCCAGUUGUCCCGCCAGGGGCACCGCUGGGUAGCGAAGUUCGGUUAGGAUAAGCGCUGAAUGCAUAUAAGCGCGAAACCUUCCUUAAGAUGAGAUUUCCCAAGCGCAAGCUAUGAAGGGCCGUGGAAGACGACCACGUAGAUAGGCUGGGUGUGUAAGCGUAGUAAUACGUUAAGCUGACCAGUACUAAUCGCCCGUUCGGCUUGACC